AGGGCGCACGGUGGAUGCCUAGGCACUAGGAGCCGAUGAAGGACGUGACGAACGACGAAAUGCUUUGGGGAGCUGUAAGUAAGCUGAGAUCCAGAGAUGUCCGAAUGGGGGAACCCACUAACUAAUGGUUAGUAUCCAUAUCUGUUAAGGAUAUGAGAAGGAAGACGCAGUGAACUGAAACAUCUAAGUAGCUGCAGGAAGAGAAAGCAAACGCGAUUGCCUGAGUAGCGGCGAGCGAAAAGGCAGGAGGGCAAACCAGAGUGUUUACACUCUGGGGUUGUAGGACUGCGCAAAGGAUAUAAAGAGUAUAGGAGAAUGAUCUGGGAAGGUCAGCCAGAGAGAGUAAGAGCCUCGUAUCUGAAAUAGUCUUUAUAGCAAGCAGUAUCCUGAGUACGGCGGGACACGAGGAAUCCCGUCGGAAACUGGGAGGCCCAUCUCCCAACCCUAAAUACUCCCUAGUGACCGAUAGUGAACCAGUACCGUGAGGGAAAGGUGAAAAGUACCCCGGAAGGGGAGUGAAAGAGUACCUGAAACCGUGUGCCUACAAGAAGUUCGAGCCCGUUAAUGGGUGAGAGCGUGCCUUUUGUAGAAUGAACCGGCGAGUUACGUUAUGAUGCGAGGUUAAGUUGAAGAGACGGAGCCGAAGGGAAACCGAGUCUGAAGAGGGCGAAUAAGUAUGAUGACGUAGACCCGAAACCAUGUGACCUACCCAUGAGCAGGGUGAAGGUGCGGUAAAGCGCACUGGAGGCCCGCACCAGGGCACGUUGAAAAGUGCUUGGAUGACUUGUGGGUAGCGGAGAAAUUCCAAACGAACUUGGAGAUAGCUGGUUCUCUCCGAAAUAGCUUUAGGGCUAGCGUCGAUUGAGAGACCGUUGGAGGUAGAGCACUGUUUGAUUGAGGGGUCCAUCCCGGAUUACCAAUAUCAGAUAAACUCCGAAUGCCAAGCGGUUGCGAUCGGCAGUCAGACUGCGAGUGCUAAGAUCCGUAGUCGAAAGGGAAACAGCCCAGACCACCAGCUAAGGUCCCCAAAUAAUUGUUAAGUGGAAAAGGAUGUGGGGUUGCACAGACAACUAGGAUGUUAGCUUAGAAGCAGCUAUUCAUUCAAAGAGUGCGUAAUAGCUCACUAGUCGAGUGACCCUGCGCCGAAAAUGUACCGGGGCUAAAACAAUUUACCGAAGCUGUGGAUAACACUAAGGUGUUAUGGUAGGAGAGCGUUCUAUGUGUGGCGAAGGUAUACCGUGAGGAGUGCUGGAACGCAUAGAAGUGAGAAUGCCGGUAUGAGUAGCGAAAGACAGGUGAGAAUCCUGUCCACCGUAAGACUAAGGAUUCCAGGGGAAGGCUCGUCCGCCCUGGGUUAGUCGGGACCUAAGGAGAGACCGACAGGUGUAUCCGAUGGGCAACAGGUUGAUAUUCCUGUACUAGAGUAUAGAGUGAAGGAGGGACGCAGUAGGCUAGCUAAACCGGACGACUGGAAGAGUCCGGCCAAGCAGUGAGGUGUGAACUGAGUCAAAUGCUUAGUUCUAUAACAUUGAGCUGUGAAGGGGAGCGAAGUUAAGUAGUGAAGUUAGUGAUGUCACACUGCCAAGAAAAGCUUCUAGCGUAAAUGUAUACUCUACCCGUACCGUAAACCGACACAGGUAGUCGAGGCGAGUAGCCUCAGGUGAGCGAGCGAACUCUCGUUAAGGAACUCGGCAAAAUGACCCCGUAACUUAGGGAGAAGGGGUGCUGGCAUAAGGUCAGCCGCAGUGAAAAGGCCCAAGCAACUGUUUAUCAAAAACACAGCUCUCUGCAAAAUCGUAAGAUGAGGUAUAGGGGGUGACGCCUGCCCGGUGCUGGAAGGUUAAGAGGAGCGCUUAGACGUCAGUCGAAGGUGUGAAUUGAAGCCCCAGUAAACGGCGGCCGUAACUAUAACGGUCCUAAGGUAGCGAAAUUCCUUGUCGGGUAAGUUCCGACCCGCACGAAAGGCGUAAUGAUUUGGGCACUGUCUCAACGAGAGACUCGGUGAAAUUUUAGUACCUGUGAAGAUGCAGGUUACCCGCGACAGGACGGAAAGACCCCAUGGAGCUUUACUGCAGUUUGAUAUUGGGUAUCUGUCACACAUGUACAGGAUAGGUAGGAGCCAAAGAAGA
This 2129-nucleotide ribosomal RNA is filed under the name Streptococcus orisasini. RNAcentral's name for it is "bacterial LSU rRNA". It matches the Rfam family "Bacterial large subunit ribosomal RNA", at positions 14 to 2163 of the family's 2925-position model. Lineage: Bacteria; Bacillati; Bacillota; Bacilli; Lactobacillales; Streptococcaceae. The record is from RNAcentral.